ACUGGCUCAGAACGAACGCUGGCGGCAUGCCUAACACAUGCAAGUCGAACGAAGGCUUCGGCCUUAGUGGCGCACGGGUGCGUAACGCGUGGGAAUCUGCCCUUAGGUUCGGAAUAACAGCUGGAAACGGCUGCUAAUACCGGAUGAUAUCGCGAGAUCAAAGAUUUAUCGCCUGAGGAUGAGCCCGCGUUGGAUUAGGUAGUUGGUGGGGUAAAGGCCUACCAAGCCGACGAUCCAUAGCUGGUCUGAGAGGAUGAUCAGCCACACUGGGACUGAGACACGGCCCAGACUCCUACGGGAGGCAGCAGUGGGGAAUAUUGGACAAUGGGCGAAAGCCUGAUCCAGCAAUGCCGCGUGAGUGAUGAAGGCCCUAGGGUUGUAAAGCUCUUUUACCCGGGAAGAUAAUGACUGUACCGGGAGAAUAAGCCCCGGCUAACUCCGUGCCAGCAGCCGCGGUAAUACGGAGGGGGCUAGCGUUGUUCGGAAUUACUGGGCGUAAAGCGCACGUAGGCGGCUUUGUAAGUCAGAGGUGAAAGCCUGGAGCUCAACUCCAGAACUGCCUUUGAGACUGCAUCGCUUGAAUCCAGGAGAGGUCAGUGGAAUUCCGAGUGUAGAGGUGAAAUUCGUAGAUAUUCGGAAGAACACCAGUGGCGAAGGCGGCUGACUGGACUGGUAUUGA
Molecule: ribosomal RNA, 679 nt
Filed under: Sphingomonas paucimobilis
Lineage: Bacteria; Pseudomonadati; Pseudomonadota; Alphaproteobacteria; Sphingomonadales; Sphingomonadaceae
Description: bacterial SSU rRNA
Rfam family: Bacterial small subunit ribosomal RNA
Source: RNAcentral